UUGUGCUUUUGUGUAAGUGAAGUGAAGGAUUUUGACGGCAUAUAGUGGAUGUGAAGGCUCAUGGUUUAGUUUCUAGUAACUACUAGUGUGAAAAGUAGAAAGAACUACUGUGGCUGACCUUUUGUUAUAAUUUAAUGUAAAAGUAGAAAGAUUGCUCUUUUAAGUUAAAGAUGGUAUUGUGUUGUUUUAUUAUUCUAUUAGAUAAGUAUGUCCGUG
RNAcentral lists this long non-coding RNA (216 nucleotides) under Capsicum annuum. Its description in RNAcentral is "long non-coding RNA (CANN_LNC013030)". Lineage: Eukaryota; Viridiplantae; Streptophyta; Magnoliopsida; Solanales; Solanaceae. The record is from RNAcentral.